GGCACUAUGGCCGAGUGGUUAAGGCGACAGAUUUGAAUUUAGAACCCUGGUUCUUGCAUUAUCUGUUGGGAUCUCCCGCGCAGGUUCGAACCCUGCUGGUGUCG
Non-coding RNA from Mycena rosella, 104 nucleotides. NCBI's taxonomy places the organism in Eukaryota, Fungi, Basidiomycota, Agaricomycetes, Agaricales, Mycenaceae. The record is from the annotation of a GenBank genome assembly.